RNAcentral lists this unclassified non-coding RNA (130 nucleotides) under Oryza sativa (Asian cultivated rice). Its description in RNAcentral is "partial microRNA MIR472a-5 precursor". The record is from RNAcentral. Lineage: Eukaryota; Viridiplantae; Streptophyta; Magnoliopsida; Poales; Poaceae.
CUCCCUCAGUUUCACAAUGUAAGUCAUUCUAGCAUUUCCCACAUUCAUAUUGAUGCUAAUGAAGUCUUCAUUAGCAUCAAUAUGAAUGUGGGAAAUGCUAGAAUGACUUACACUGUGAAACAGAGGAAGU